Long non-coding RNA from Lepidothrix coronata (blue-crowned manakin), 576 nucleotides. RefSeq lists it as uncharacterized. The transcript has 4 exons. NCBI's taxonomy places the organism in Eukaryota, Metazoa, Chordata, Aves, Passeriformes, Pipridae. The record is from RefSeq and is a predicted model, not a curated record.
UGGACAACAGACAGCAAAAAAAUACCUGUCUCGGUGGAGGAGUUUAAGAGCACUGCAGAGAUCAUCAGACAGUGCAGAAUAUCUUGGCUCACACAGGCCAUUCUCUUUAUCUCAAAACAAUACCAGCCAAGCUCCUCUGUACCUAAAACUGAAGAGCUGCAGGAGCAGGAGGACAGUAACUAAUACAGCUUUUAAAUUUGAAUCUCCUUGUUUUUACUAAGAAAAAAAAAAGAAAAAAGAAAAAAGAUACAUGAAUUCAAAGCAAGAUAAGAUAUCUGAUUCCAAGGAAGAAAACUAUCCACAGCAGGUUGAAGCUACAGGGGCAGUCCUGAAUUGUUUUUCUCCAUCAAGCUACUUUACUUCAAAAAGUGGACCUUCAAAAACAGCAAUUCCCAUGGAUCGGUACUUAAAAGGAUGUCAGGGUCUUGCUGAGCCAUUGUUGACCCCCUGGGCAGCAAGGUUGUGCAGAGCAGGAGGACUGCAGUGAACCUCUUCCAGUGUCUUAGGGGAGCCCAGUGCUGAGUGUGGCAAAACCCUUCAGGGGGGCAUAACACAGGAUCACAGGAUGACUACACA